CACGUAGGGCGCAAGCGUUGUCCGGAAUUAUUGGGCGUAAAGAGCUCGUAGGCGGACUGUCACGUCUGCUGUGAAAAGCUGGGGCUUAACCCUGGCCUUGCAGUGGAUACGGGCAGACUAGAGGUAGGUAGGGGAGAAUGGAAUUCCCGGUGUAGCGGUGAAAUGCGCAGAUAUCGGGAGGAACACCGGUGGCGAAGGCGGUUCUCUGGGCCUUACCUGACGCUGAGGCACGAAGGUCAGGGGAGCAAACGGG
Molecule: ribosomal RNA, 253 nt
Filed under: uncultured bacterium
Lineage: Bacteria
Description: partial 16S ribosomal RNA
Rfam family: Bacterial small subunit ribosomal RNA
Source: RNAcentral